UGGUGGAGGAGCAGUAUUUGGUGGUGCAGACGGCACAUGAACUUCAAUACUUAAUGGUGGAGGAGCAUUAUUUGGUGGCAUAGGCAGUGCAUGGCCUUCGACACUUGGCGGUGGAGCAUUAUUUGGUGGUGCAGAAGGUACAUGAACUUCAAUGCUUAGUGGUGGAGGAGCAUUAUUUGGUGGCAUAGGCGGUACAUGGCCUUCAACACUUGCAGGUGGAGGAGAAUUAGUUGGUGGCAUAGAUGGUACAUGACCUUCAACAUUUGGUGGUGGAGGAGCAUUAUUUGGUGGUGCAGUAGGUGCAUGAACUUCAAUGCUUAAUGGUGGAGGAACAUUAAUUGGUGGUGUGGGCGGUACAUGACCUUCAACACUUGGUGGUGGACGAGAAUUAGCUGGUGGCAGAGAUGGUACAUGACCUUCAACACUUGGUAGUGGAGGAGCAUCUUUUGGUGGCACCGACGGUGCUUGACUUUCAACACUUGGUGGUGGAGGAGAAGCAUCUUUUGGUGGCAAAGACGGUACUUGACUUUCAACACUUGGUGGUGCAGGAGCAUUAUUUGGUGGCUCUGACGGUACAUGUUCAGUACUUGGUGGUGGAGAAGCAGUUUUUGGUGGCAUAGGCGGUACAUGGCCUUCAACACUUGGUGGUGGAGGAGAAUUAGUCGGUGGCAUAGAUCGUACAUGGCCUUCAACACUUGGUGGCGGAGGAUCAUUAUUUGGUGGUGCAGUAGGUACAUGAACUUCAAUGCUUAGUGGUGGAGGAACUUUAAUUGGUGGCGUAGGCGGUACACGACCUUCAACACUUGGUGAUGGAGGAGAAUUAGCUGGUGGCAAAGAUGGUACAUGACCUUCAACACUUGGUAGUGGAGGAGCAUCUUUUGGUGGCACCGACGGUGCUUGACUUUCAACACUUGGUGGUGGAGGAGAAGCAUCUUUUGGUCGCAAAGGCGGUACUUGACUUUCAACACUUGGUGGUGGAGGAGCAUUAUUUGGUGGCUCUGACGGUACAUGUUCAGUACUUAGUGGUGGAGAAGCAGUUUUUGGUGGCAUAGGCGGUACAUGGCCUUCAACACUUGCAGGUGGAGGAGAAUUAGUUGGUGGCAUAGAUGGUACAUGACCUUCAACACUUGGUGGCGGAGGAGCGUUAUUUGGUGGUGUAGUAGGUACAUGAACUUCAAUGCUUAGUGGUGGAGGAACAUUAAUUGGUGGCGUAGGCGGUACACGACCUUCAACACUUGGUGAUGGAGGAGAAUUAGCUGGUGGCAAAGAUGGUACAUAACCUUCAACACUUGGUAGUGG
RNAcentral lists this long non-coding RNA (1299 nucleotides) under Malus domestica (apple). RNAcentral's name for it is "long non-coding RNA (MDOM_LNC001397)". Lineage: Eukaryota; Viridiplantae; Streptophyta; Magnoliopsida; Rosales; Rosaceae. The record is from RNAcentral.